CCAAAGAAGGGGAAACGAAACCCUGCCGAAAGGCGGGCGUAAUGUCCCAUAAGACCACAGGGCGGCAUCGUCCAGGGGUCAAAGCUCCGCAAGGGGCGCUAGGAGAGGAGCCUGAGUCCUAUCAUGGUAGUUGGUGAGGUAAUGGCUCACCAAGCCGUUGACGGGUAGCCGGCCUGAAAGGGUGACCGGCCACACUGGCACUGAGACACGGGCCAG
This 216-nucleotide ribosomal RNA is filed under the name uncultured bacterium. RNAcentral's name for it is "partial 16S ribosomal RNA". It matches the Rfam family "Bacterial small subunit ribosomal RNA", at positions 131 to 334 of the family's 1533-position model. The record is from RNAcentral.